UACGUAGGGUGCGAGCGUUGUCCGGAAUUAUUGGGCGUAAAGAGCUCGUAGGCGGUGUGUCACGUCGGCCGUGAAAACCUGCAGCUUAACUGUGGGCGUGCGGUCGAUACGGGCAUCACUGGAGUUCGGCAGGGGAGACUGGAAUUCCUGGUGUAGCGGUGAAAUGCGCAGAUAUCAGGAGGAACACCGGUGGUGAAGGCGGGUCUCUGGGCCGAUACUGACGCUGAGGAGCGAAAGCGUGGGGAGCAAACAGG
This 254-nucleotide ribosomal RNA is filed under the name uncultured bacterium. Its description in RNAcentral is "partial 16S ribosomal RNA". It matches the Rfam family "Bacterial small subunit ribosomal RNA", at positions 524 to 776 of the family's 1533-position model. The record is from RNAcentral.